RNA transcript from Sapajus apella (tufted capuchin), 787 nucleotides. It is a transcript of the gene named anaphase-promoting complex subunit CDC26 pseudogene, with no coding region annotated. NCBI's taxonomy places the organism in Eukaryota, Metazoa, Chordata, Mammalia, Primates, Cebidae. The transcript has a single exon. The record is from RefSeq and is a predicted model, not a curated record.
UGAACUCUGGAGCGAGUCGAGGACUUCCGGGGUCCGCUGUGCCCCCCGGGCCUACCGGAGCGUUUAAGUCUUCCUGGAGCCGAAGACCUUGUUACCAUGGAAACCCUCGCCAGGGAUCCGAGAUUAUGACUGUACCUUUUAACUUUGUAGCUGGAGCACAAGAAGUAUUUGUUUAAUGAAUGACGAACACAUUUAGGCUCUGUUUAAACGCUGAGAAUAAUCUUGUGAAUUGCUAAUAGUUCACUGGGUUUGGCCCUUAGUGUUGACUUCAAUAUGCUGAGAUGAAAACCAACACGCCUAGAGCUAAAGCUCGAUGACAUUGAUGAGUUUGAGAGCAUUCGAAAGGACCUGGAGACCCGUAAGAAACAGAAGGAAGAUGUGGAAGUCAUAGGAGGCAGUGAUGGAGAAGGAGCCAUUGGGCUCAGCAGUGAUCCCAAGAGCCGGGAUCAAAUGAUCAAUGAUCGGAUUGGUUAUAAACCCCAACCCAAGCCCAAUAAUCGUUCAUCUCAAUUUGGAAGUCUUGAAUUUUAGAGAUGGAUUAUCUUGCAUGCCAGAGCCAUGGAAUGGAAUAAAAUGAUGGCAGAAGUACAAACCAGAUUUAGAGAAUUGAGUGCUUGCAGUCAAGCAGAAUGUCAGAGAUAACUGCUUCUGCAUGAGAUUACUGAUGCUUAACUAGCACUCUAAGCUGGAAUCCAGACUCUGGUUUGUCUCUGGAAACUUUGAUUCUAUAAAACUGAUCUGAUUUUUUGCUUUUAAAAAUAAAUAUAUUUUUGGAAAAAAAAAAAAA